UACGUAGGGUCCAAGCGUUGUCCGGAUUUAUUGGGUGUAAAGAGCUCGUAGGCGGUUCGGUAAGUCGGAUGUGAAAACUCAGGGCUCAACCCGGAGACGCCAUCCGAUACUGCUGUGACUUGAGUCUGGUAGGGGAUCACGGAAUACCUGGUGUAGCGGUGAAAUGCGCAGAUAUCAGGUGGAACACCGAUGGCGAAGGCGGUGAUCUGGGCCAGUACUGACGCUGAGGAGCGAAAGCGUGGGGAGCAAACAGG
Molecule: ribosomal RNA, 254 nt
Filed under: uncultured bacterium
Lineage: Bacteria
Description: partial 16S ribosomal RNA
Rfam family: Bacterial small subunit ribosomal RNA
Source: RNAcentral